AGGGCACCACCAGGAGUGGAGCCUGCGGCUUAAUUUGACUCAACACGGGGAAACUCACCCGGCCCGGACACUGGAAGGAUUGACAGAUUGAGAGCUCUUUCUUGAUUCAGUGGGUGGUGGUGCAUGGCCGUUCUUAGUUGGUGGAGUGAUUUGUCUGGUUAAUUCCGAUAACGAACGAGACUCUAGCCUACUAAAUAGACCUCGGCAUUCUUUGUACUGUCGAGGCGCUUCUUAGAGGGACAGGCGGCGUUUCAGCCGCAUGAGAAAGAGCAAUAACAGGUCUGUGAUGCCCUUAGAUGUCCGGGGCCGCACGCGCGCUACACUGAAGAGAUCAGCGUGCAUGUGCUUCCUACUCCGAAAGGAGCGGGAAACCCAGUGAACCUUCUUCGUGAUUGAGAUAGAAGAUUGUAAUUAUUCUUCUUGAACGAGGAAUUCCCAGUAAAUGCGAGUCAUAAGCUCGCGUUGAUUACGUCCCUGCCCUUUGUACACACCGCCCGUCGCUACUACCGAUUGAACGAU
Molecule: ribosomal RNA, 519 nt
Filed under: uncultured eukaryote
Lineage: Eukaryota
Description: bacterial SSU rRNA
Rfam family: Eukaryotic small subunit ribosomal RNA
Source: RNAcentral